Non-coding RNA from Brachypodium distachyon (stiff brome), 142 nucleotides. The record is from Rfam. Lineage: Eukaryota; Viridiplantae; Streptophyta; Magnoliopsida; Poales; Poaceae.
CAUAUACUCCCUCCGUCCAACAAAAGAUGUCUCAAGUUUGUCAAAAUUUGAAAGUAUCUAGACAUGACUUAGUGUAUAGAUGCAUUCAAAUUUAGUCAAAGUUGAGACAUCCACAUCCUUUGUUGGACGGAGGAAGUAUAUU